GCCGGGCAUGGUGGAGCAUGCCUGUAAUCCCAGCUACUUGGGAGGCUGAAGCAGGAGAAUCGUUUAAGCCCAGGAGGUGGAGGCUGCAGUGAGCUGAGAUUGAGUCACUGCACUCCAGCCUGGGCAACAGAGCAAGACUCUGUCUCAA
Molecule: unclassified non-coding RNA, 148 nt
Organism: Pongo abelii (Sumatran orangutan)
Lineage: Eukaryota; Metazoa; Chordata; Mammalia; Primates; Hominidae
Rfam family: Metazoan signal recognition particle RNA
About the family: The signal recognition particle (SRP) is a universally conserved ribonucleoprotein. It is involved in the co-translational targeting of proteins to membranes.
Source: Ensembl